UAGAGAGAAAAUAAUUCUAAUUAGUUAUCAGAAAAGUUGCCAUGGCAACUUAAGAUGCUGAAAAACAUGACAAAGUUAUAGAUGUUCAAAAAUAUGGCAACGUUGACAUGGCAUUUUAAGAUGUUCAAAAGCAUGGCAAACUUGCCAUGGCAAAAUUUAUGAUGUGCCAAAACAUGGCAAACUUCUUUAAUUAACAUGUUCAAAAACAUGCAAACUUGUCAUGGUAAAGUUAUAGAUGUUCAAAAACAUGGCUAACUUGCCAUGGCAACUUAAGAUGUUGACCAACGUGGCAAACUUUCAGGUGUUCAAAAACAUGGCUAACUUUCCAUGGCAACUUAAGAUGUUGACCAACGUGGCAAACUUUCAGAUGUUCAAAAACAUGGCAAACUUACCAUGUCAUUUAAACAAAUGCUCAAAACCAUUUGAAACUUGCCAUGCAAAACUAAUGAUGUGCAAAAAUGGCAAAAAAAUAAUUAAGUUUGUACAAAAACAAGGCAAACUUCUUUAACUAAGAUGUUUAAAAACACGGCAAACUUGUCAUGGCAACUAAAGAUGCUCAAAAAUGUGGCAAUCUAAUAUGCUAAAAAACAUGGCAAACUUGCCAUGGCAAAUUUUGUUCAUAGAUCAUGGCAAAUUUUAGUUUGAUGUUUCUGCCAUGGCAAAUUCUACUUUAUUUUCCAAGACGAUGGUAAAUUUUAAUAAAUGACCAUGGCAAAUUAAGUUUGCGAUUUCAUGGCAAAUUUCAUUACUUAACCAUGGCAAAAAAAUUGAUCAUGCUAAAUUUAGUAAAUGAUCAUGGCAAUUUUUAGUUUAUAGAUCAUGGCAAAUUUUCAUUGCAUGUAUCAUGCCUAAUACGAAAAUUAUUCACUCAUAAAAAUAUUCACUUUCCAGAAAACAUAUGCGUGGGGUAAUGUGCAUAACCGUAAAAUUAAAACAAUGGCAAAUUUACAUCACUUGUGGCCACCAUUACCAAACUUUGGCAUCUUUGUUUUUCAUCAAUGCGUGCUUUCUUAUGAGCAUCGCAUCUUUUACUUUUUAUGCUCCCAUGACAAUAUUAGUUUUACUGUCAAGACAAAUUUGUCUUUAUGUAUCACGACAUUUUUUACUGUGCAAACCAUAACAUUUUAUUUCUAAUUUAUGUAGCAUGGCAAUUUUAUAUUUUUGUUGCACCAUGGAAAUUUUUUAUUUUUUGUAAAGCAUGAAAUUUUUGCUAGUUGCCAUGGAAUUUCACUUUUUUCUAAAGGUAGUGUGUGGUAGUUUUAACAAUUAUAACAAUCGAUGGCAAUUCUUGAUUUUUUUUGGGGGGCAUUUUUAUUGUAUAAUUUCUUCUCAGUUUUUUCAGCUGGUUUUUUAUCAUUUUUUCGUGUUUUUACUGCAAUGUCAUUUGUUAAUUUUACGUUUUUAUGUACACAAUAGUUUCUGAUCAUUUUUUUCACUUUUGUUUAAUUUCUGUUUGCAAAGGGAAGGGGCCAGCAGGCCUAGCAUAAGGUCUGGCUAACGUGGGGCGGGAUCGUUCGGGCUGGGGGGACAUCGUAACGAACGAAACCCGUUCGGUCGUAGUGCCCUGGUGCACUAAACAAUUCGUUCGGUCCACUCCCCUCCCAUCCCGAACGAUCGGGAGAUAUCGGUGUCCUAUUACUUUGUUCUCAGUAACUUAGUUUUGCGCCGUAGGAUCGUUAGCACGAAUAUUAGAGCAGGGAGAUCAGCCAUGUCACCCUUUUUUUGUUCGGAAAAUAAACGCCUCGUCACGAACGCCUGUCAGAUCUUAUCCUCUUCCCCCACCGCCCAUUCUACAUCCCACCCAGCACACUCAGGAGAGCGACCAUGCGGCGGUGACGUCGGAGACGAGGCAGGUGGCGGCGGAGACCAGGAAAGUAGUUCACUGUCUCGCAGCUCCACUGGGACCAACAUCGUGGUGUCAAGCGGCGGAGACGAGCGGGCUGUGCCGUCUCCGAGGGCGGGCAGAGAACUCGACGACGAGGGCGUCGAGCUUGAGCCAGGCGAGUGGAGGCGGCGCUACGUGCGGCGGGCGGUAAACUCGGCGACGAUAGCAUUGAGCUUGAGUCAGGCGAGCGGAGGCGGCGCUACACACGGCGGGCGGCGAACUCGGCGACAAGGGCAUGUACACCUCCGGCUUGUGCACCAGCAGCUGCUUUGAAAGGAGGCGUGGGUCAACGGAGCGCUGGCGGGGGUGGCCAAUUCACAGGAUCGCACUGAGAAGGUUGGCGGUGUGAAAGUUUAAGAUGAUGAGCUCGACGUUGCUAUCGUUGGUGGAGGCAUGGUGGGCUUGGCUGUUUGCUUGUGUAGUGUGUAAGUAUUGAUGCCUUUGUGUACUUCUAUUCCUUCGAUUAAAUUGUUCAUGAGGUCACCUUAGUGUUACGCUUAGGCUGAGAAUCGAUCCCAACAUUAGCUAUAAAAGGAAACUUGGCACUAUUGGAAUAAAGUUCUCAGAGAUUCUUCCAGCCAUUUUUAUUAGUUCAGUAUGAAGUAUUACUAAUAAUAUUGUUAGAAUGGUAGUUGCAGAGGAGUUUGGUGGCUGUAUGUGGAAACCCCCACUACAAUUUUUCCAUUUUUAUAUGCUUUUAGCAAGAACAAAAUUUACCAUGGCAUUUUCAUAUGUUCUGUCACCACUGCAUAGAAGAUCUUUAUGAUUUCAUCUUCUUACAGUGGUAGAGAUGUCAUGGCAUCAGUCUGUAGUUUUUACCAUGUUGUUUUUGUGCUAGAAAUCUGACCCCCACAUUUACCUUGGUUACUUCCAAUCUGUAGUUCUUGGAGUUAGCAUAUGAAGUUGUCAUGGACAAUUUUCAAGCACACACUGAUGUCACGGGCAAUCUGUAGUUGGGGUUCAAAUAGCAAAAAUAAAUUUAGUAAUUGACCAUGGCAUAUUUAGUUUAUGGAUCAUGGCAAAUCCCGUGCCAUGUCAACUUAAGUUUAGAAACCAUGUACGCUCUAUGAACAUCAGAUUUGAACAUAUGGCAAACCUAUGAAUUUUGUUUUUUUCAUGAAAAUGUUUCAAAUUGAUGUUACCAUCAUGGCAUGACAGAAUUAUAAAUGCAUGAGGCAUGGCAAAUGUAGUUAUUGGGUCAUGACAUUCUUCUCUACAUGAACAUAUACAUGCCAUUUUUCCUAACAAAAAGCAUGACAUCUAUAAUUAAGAGACCAUGCUAAUUUAUAACAUACAUCUUUCAUGGCAAAUUUUGUUCAUAACUUGUGUUUGUUUUACAUACAUGAUUUUUUUUCUGAUAUAGAACAUGGCAAAUUUAAUUAAAAUACCAUGGCCAUUUUUUAUAUGAAUCAUGGCAAUUUUUUGUUCAUAAUUUGUGUUUGCUUUACAAAGAUAGCAUUUUUCUCAUAUUGAAAAAAAAUCAAUUAAAAUAGCAUGGCAAGUUUUGAUAUGAAUUUGCCAUGGCAAUUUUGUUCAUAAGUUGAGUUUUACUUUUUCAUACAUGACAUUUUUUUCCCAUACAAAACAUGGCAAUUUUUUAUUAAUUACCACGGCAAUUUUUGAUAUGAAUUUGCCAUGGCAAUUUUUUGUACAUAAUUUGUGUUUGCUUUACAAAUAUGGCAUUUUUCAUGGUAAAAAAAAGAUGGCAUUUUUCUCAAAUAGAACAUGGCAAAUUUAAUUAAAAUAGCAUGGCAAGUUUUUGAUAUGAAUUUUCCAUGGCAAUUUUGUUCAUAAGUUGAGUUUUAAUUUACAUACAUGACAUUUUUCUCAUAUAGAACAUGGCAAAUUUAAUUGAAAUACCAUGGCUAUUUUCGAUAUGAAUUCGCCAUGUCAAUAAUUUUUAUUCAUAAUUUGUGUUUUAUUUUACAAAGAUGGCAUUUUUCUCAUAUAGAACAUGGAAAAUUCAAUUAAAAUAGCAUGGCAAGUUUUGACAUGAAUUUGCCAUGGCAAUUUUGUUGUUUUACUUCUUCGUACAUGACAUUUUUUCCAUACUAAAUAUGCAAUUUUUUUAUAUGAAUCUGCCAUGACAAUUUUUUGUCCAUACUUUUCUGCUUCAACUGCUCACUCUACAUAUGAACAUGGCAACUAAAAUUCAUAUGUUCCAUGUGGUUGUUUGUAUUUUGUGCAUUCUAUUAUUUUUUCCUGGUAAGUUUUGCCAUGUCAUAUUUCUGAACAUAACUUUUUCCUUGGCAAUUUUUGAUUUUUUGCCAUGCUAUCUUGGAAACCAUUUUUGUUGUAAACCUUGCCAUUGUAAGAAAAAAUAUCAUGCCAAAUUAUGAAAUAGUUUGGUCAAACUCGAAUGGAAUUUUUUUGGAAUUUUCAUGUGUUAUAUAAGUAUCAUGUUUUAGUAAAUACAAAUUGAGGGGUAUUGUUUUAGUAAAUGGCUGUAAUAUAGUCACGUGGCAAUUUUUCUUUCCAUACCUUUUUAAGCCUUUUCGGCCCUUAUAAAGUCCUUUUACUUGUGAUCUCA
This is a long non-coding RNA of Triticum aestivum (bread wheat), 4415 nucleotides long. RefSeq lists it as uncharacterized. Lineage: Eukaryota; Viridiplantae; Streptophyta; Magnoliopsida; Poales; Poaceae. The record is from RefSeq and is a predicted model, not a curated record. The transcript is spliced from 2 exons.